GGAAGGUGCAAGCGUUAAUCGGAAUCACUGGGCGUAAAGAGCGCGUAGGCGGUUAGAUAAGUCGGGUGUGAAAGCCCCGGGCUCAACCUGGGAACUGCAUUCGAUACUGUCUGACUAGAGUGUGAUAGAGGGAGGCGGAAUUCCGCAUGUAGCGGUGAAAUGCGUAGAGAUGCGGAGGAACACCAAUGGCGAAGGCAGCCUCCUGGAUCAACACUGACGCUGAGGCGCGAAAGCGUGGGGAGCAAACAGGAUUAGAUACCCUGGUAGUCCCACGCCCGUAAACGAUGUCAACUAGCCGUUGGGAGCAAUUUGGCUCUUGGUGGCGCAGCUAACGCGAUGAGUUGACCGCCUGGGGAGUACGGUCGCAAGAUUA
Molecule: ribosomal RNA, 373 nt
Filed under: uncultured organism
Description: partial 16S ribosomal RNA
Rfam family: Bacterial small subunit ribosomal RNA
Source: RNAcentral